RNAcentral lists this long non-coding RNA (4982 nucleotides) under Nicotiana tabacum (common tobacco). Its description in RNAcentral is "long non-coding RNA (NTAB_LNC012706)". The record is from RNAcentral. Lineage: Eukaryota; Viridiplantae; Streptophyta; Magnoliopsida; Solanales; Solanaceae.
GAAAUUCUUAAAACAAAAAUAUAAACAACAAAUUAAAUGACACUACAUUUACAUGUUUCCAAUUGUAAAAUUUUCAAACUAGUUACCUUCAAAAUCAAGUUUUUGGACAACAUUAAAGCAAAAAUAAAAGCUCCAUUUUUUAAAAAACAAAUUGGGCUAUGAACCAUCUCAAGAAGGAAUAUGAGCAUUUUCUAUGAGAUUCCUAAACAAACAAGUCACCUAAUUUUAGGGCAUAAUUUCUAUACUAUGAUAGUAUAAAAAAUGUAUAUCAUCAGAUCAUGCAUAUUAAAUUACACUGAUAGUGUGUAAAGCCAUUUUGACAUGUAAGUAAGUCUAGUUGAUGAUUAGGACUUCACUAACUUCGCUAAAAAAAUCUGAUAUUUGAAGACGUAAUUCACAUUGACUGAAAAUGAUGUACCCAAAACAAUUGAAGUAUAGACAUUAAGGGAAAAAAUACUGAUUAUUAGGAGUACAUUUUAUAAAGAUGGAUGUACUCUUCAUCAAUGCCUACAAAACAACUAAAGGUAUUGGAAUUGAUGAGAUCCAUUCACUCUUAAUAAAAAAUCUUCUAUUCGAGCCCCGAAAAUGAAGAUAUCUUUGGUAGAGAAUACUUUCUUCCUUUAAUGAAUCAUAUCCGUUAAGAAUCUGAAUUAUUCGGACCAAUAAUACCAAAUACCAAAUGAUUAUACCAAAAAAAGAUACUAACUGAUAAUGAAAAGGAAAAAAAGAGAACAAAAUACCAAAACUGUUAUAAAACAAUAAAAGAAGAAGAGCAUUACGGAGAAAAGUAUAGAGGGAAUUCUUAUUGAAUUUUGGGAUAAAUUAUAAUGAAAUAGAACCCUUCUAUUUAUAGGGAAAAAGUGACUUAGCCACCAAGUAACAACCCUAAAGUCUCUCUAAAAUAUAGUCAUUCACCAUAAAUAAAAUAUUAUUUAUAACACUCCCCCUUGAAUGUCUAUUUAAUAUAUAAUGUGCCUCGUUAAAAUCUUAACUAAAAUAAAAUCUGGUAGGAAAAGAUUCUAGUGAAGGAAAAAGAGGAAACAUAUCUAACAAUACAGUCUUUUGGUUGCCUCGUUAAGACCUUGCAAGAAAAACCCAGUAGGACAAAAUCUUGUAAGGAAAAAAGAGUACAACGCGUAUUAACUCCCCUUGAUGAGAGCAUCAAUUCACAUCCUUGAACCUUCGCAUUCCAAUCUUGUGCACCAUCUUCAAAAUAUCAUUGAUAGAGAUUUGAUACACAAAUCAGUCAUAUUAACUUGAAUGAACAUCAUUCUUGAUAGAUAUAUAAUGUCUUUAUAAACUGCCGUGGAAUGGCCUUUUCAAUAGCUCCAUAGAGGUAAAAAAUUCUCACUAUCACAUUAUCAUGCUUAUAGUUAUAGCAAGAUGCAUUGUGCAUAAAUUGCAUCGAGGAUGUGGUACUUCAAGAUCAAGAAUUGUAUAUGCUUCAAGCAAUUGAAAUCCUUCGGGGAUUAUCAUAUAAGUAUAGUCAAAUAAGUCAUAUAAAUAGACUUCAGAUGCAUAUCAAGUUUUCAUGUCAUGUUAGACAUAUAAAAUAGAUAAAAGUAAUUGCACAUACCAUUGACUUUAUACUUUCAAGUGUUUGAACUACAUGUCCAAAAUUAUACGUCUUUCAUAUGAAACUAAUUCAUUGUUUCUCCAGACUUAAGAUCCUCUUAUGUAUUUUGCGUUAUCAUAUAUGUCGUCGAUAAAUAUUAUAUAUCGGUUCCAAUAUAUUUUUCAUAGAGACAUAACAUAGAGAUCUCUUCAUUCAUUUCUGCUACCUGAACCUCUCCUGAGAUUUUAUAAAGUAUUAUGUCAUGUGAUCUUCUAGAUCACUUGCCUCCUUUAUGAUCAUUUUGAUCAUUUGCUCAUCUUCUUUAUCAAGAAGUUUAUUUGAAACCGAUUUGUCUAUAUGCUUUAAGCGUACCAUAUACUUUGUUCUUCUAGGACUUAAUAGGAGCAUUUUAAGUGAGAAUAUAGUUACUUUCUUUGGGUCAGCAAAUGCGUCUUGUAUACUUUGCAAUAUAUUGCAGAUGAAUUAUCUUUUUAUGAACUUCAAAUUCAUAUUAUCUUAUUCGAGGAUCUAGAUGUAGAAAUGAUAAUUCAUUCCACGUAACUUUUUCUCAACUGUUUAUCUUGUCUCCCCCUCGUGUUAGAAAAACUAACUUGCUUCCUCAACUUUGGGAACUCAUCUUUGUGCAUUGUGGUGUUAACCAAAAUAUACACCGCACAUCAAUAAUAAUAAGAUGAAAUUAUUUGGUUCCUGACUCUGAACCACUUGUGAGGGGAGAAUGUAAUAUACUUUUGAGUAUAAUGUAUGUCAAACUAAUAUAGAUAACUUUGUUCUCAUAAGCAAUAAUUUAACUAUUAAGUGAAGGCACUCAAUAAAUUAUUUUGCUAAACCAGAUGUGAUAUAAACUAACUUAUCAAGAUGAACUGUCUUGAAUAGAAAAUCUGAAAAUUAUGCUCUAAAUUAAAUUAUUGAGCAAGUUACCUCACAAACACCAAGUUGCGGGUAAAUAAUAACCGCACAUGUAACCAUCUCAUAGAUGCAUCUUUAUAAGGUUUACAUGGCAGGUGAAUGAGCUCAUAUUCACCUUUGAUAAAUUUCAUAAUUCAAGGGAUUCAUUCCCAAUUUUAGUUGGUACAAUAAUCGCGAGAACAAGCAAUAUAAGAGAAUUCAUAAAGAAUCUUCUUCAACACUUACCCAUGUUAAUUCUCAUUUAUUUUAUGCAUCUAAAUCAAGAUUGCUCAAUAGGCCAUGCUUGAUAAAAUUGUCUGUAUUAGUAAACUUCAGGUUUACAUCAUGGCAUGUGCAAUUAUGAAUAAACUCCAAGUUUAUUAUGAUAUGAGUUUUUAUAUCAAUAAACUUCUACUUUAUUGUGGUAUUCUUUUGUUUGUGUUGUACAAACUGAAGAAUAAAGCGGGUAGCUUUUCACAUACAUAUCACCCGCUACUACUUGUAGUAAUAUAAGAUAUUGAAAUUUUCCUUUAUUUAUAGUCUCAAUAUAACCAAUCGCUUUUGCGAAUACUUUAGAAACUCAAUAAGUUUCUUUGAGACUUACUACAAUAUAAUGCCUUGUUGAUAAUCAAUUUUGUUCCUCCAAAAUAGUAAUAAUUGGCUCUUCCAGAGCUCUCAAUUAAUUUUGUACUACCACAUAUUCAUCAACAUCUAUAUGGUGAAUAUCUCUUUUAAAGAGAAAGUUAUACCACUAUGGUUAUGGUCAAAAUUAUAUGUAAGACCUGUUUCUUGCAUUACCGUUGUCUUUUAAUAAUCACAUUCCCAAAAUAUUUUGGCGUACAAUAAGUACGUGGCCAAUGACCAUUUACGCCAUAAUAAUGACAUUAUUUUCUUAUUUCCUCUCAAACCUCCUUUUAGAGGUGAGUGUGGUAUAUACAACUAGCACGCUCAUAUUCUUCCAAAAAUAAAUAUGUAUUCAUAAAUCACAUGUUGUCACAUUCACAUCAUGAAUAGACUAUAGUUAUAUAUAUGUGCUUUACAAAAUCUCAUGUCAAAUCGAUGACAAAUAUUACUUUCACAUAGUGAAAGAUUAUUUUGAGAAUACUUAUUGUUCUCAUUACCACAAUGAUGACGAUUAUAAUUUCGUCUAUUGCCAUCGUCCAAAUCCAUUGAUACAUUCAUGGUGAUAAUUUUGUUUCUUUCAGACGUAUCAAAUACUGCUAUCACAUUCUCUUAAGGGAAUGAGAAUGAAGCAAAUUCAAUGGGACAGGUUUUCACUUCUUGUGCUCACAAUCAUACAUGAAUUUGAUCAUGGCAAGACAUAAAAAUUUUACCACUUUUAGUGGUUAUAAUUUCUUACAAACUUUAUUAGAGUUAUAAUCAAAAUUUAUUGUUUUUACUUGUAUUUAAAAUCAAAUUAUAGAAUUUUAAGAAUUCAAAAGAGAAAAAUAAAGUAAAAUACUUACUUUAAAUCCAGAAUUUAAUCAUGAAGGAAGUUCAUGGAACAAUUGGCAAUUAUUAUGCUCAAUCCCAAAGCUUCUACUCAACCCAAAGCUUCUACUCAAUUGGUUAGAGUCUUGUGCUGAUAACGUGUUAUAAAACAAUAAAAGAAGAAGAGUGUUAAAGAGAAAAGUAGAGAGGAAAUUCUUAUUGAACUUUGGGAUAAAUUACAAUGAAAUAGAAUCUCUCUAUUUAUAGGGAAAAAAUAACUUAAUCACCAAGUAAUAACCCUAAAAUCUCUCUAAAAUAUAGACAUUCACAUAAGAUAAUAUUUGUAACAAAAACAAGGAAUCUCACGAUAUAUAUUCGAAGGCAAACAAAUGAAGAAAAUAGUCAAAAAUGCGUACAUUUGUUUAAAACUCAUGAUCGAUCCAUUAUUUCUGGAACUGGGCUCUCUGUAACGCUUUCUAAAGAUGGUUUCCACUUAGAAUCUCUUCUUUCUCUUCUUCUUUUUAUUUCUCCCAAACAAUCAUCUAAAUUUUUUCCGUCUUUGAGUUUCAACUGAAGCAAUAACUUUUCUAGCUCUUCUUUACUCAAAACAAUCUUUAUUCUCAUACUAUUAUUUCCUUUUAUCUCUGUUUCUGUUUUUGCCUUGAGAAUUUCACUUGUUUUUUCCUCUGUUUCUAGUUCUUGAAUACUUUCCUCUAUUUCUUCCCUUCGUAAACAUGCUUCCAUGCAAUUUCCCAUUAUAUUGGAAACACUGGUAAAUCGUUCUUUCUUCUAAGAAAUGGAUUUUUUUAAAUAGUAAUUUGCUGUUUCUGAGCUGAAAGAAGAGGAAGAAAAAGCAGCCAAAACCAAUAAUUUUGAGAGAGAGAGAGAAAAGAGAAAAUUUUGAAGUGUUAACUAUAGUGCAUGUGAUGGUGAUUAGACUUCAUAUAUAGAAAGAAUAAACACGUAUUGAAUAAAAUAUUGUAUUAGUUAAUUAAUACGAGGGACUUUGCUUUUUUGUUAUGAUCAUCUCAUAGCGAGAAUUACUACACAAACUAAUUUAAAUUCGUGUUGUAUUUAAUCUAUUUAAAAA